CAGGUUCUGAAAGCACGGCGGUGGUAAGUAUCGAUUUCUCCGGGACGCCAUCCAGUCGACGGUAAGCUCCGUGAGUCACCUCACCGUUCCUCUUUCAUAUUACAUCGAGAAGUACACCCUCAGCACUAGUAUAGUACAAGUGACUCAGUGAGUCACAGAGUCCGAGUCAAUAUAUCCGGCCACCCCUCUAAUUACUAAACGAAAACUAUACGCAUUACACCCGGGUAUACAAUUCGUCGCGAAAUCCAUCCGUAUUAAUACCGGAGACCAAUUACCACCCUUAGACUUUCUCAGGGGUCCGUGAUCAGGCGAAAUAAUUCGCCCAAGUUCGAUCGAGGAAAAGAAUGACUCAAUUAAAACUUACGUCGCUCUUUAUACUAGCAGCAAUGAAAUUAGACGUCAUCCGUUUGCCCGCAGAAGCUCGAACUUCGUGCACGAAACGAUUUAUGACUAGCCAAACAUUACGAAAGCUCGAUUAGCACGCGUAACUUAAUUCUUGCUAAUUCUUCGGCUUCCGUAUCCCGAUUCCUAAUAAAUGUAUUUUUGGGCUGUAGUUAGAAAUUGAAAAGAAUUAACCUUGAGUAAAAUUUGUUAUAAAAUUUUUUUUACAGACGGUCGAAAUUCUCGUGUCACUGAUGAAUGGGUAACUUGCUUGACCUUCGCGUUUAGCACUGGGAGAGUAUGAAAGUGUAGAAGGUUCCGGUAUGCAUUGCACAUAUUUAUGUGCGUGUGUGUGUGUGUCGUGGGAUCAACUACGCCUAGUACAUAAGCUCCAUUAGGGUUCAUUUCCCUAAUUGAUUAUACGGUAGGGUGACUGGUGACGAAUCCAGAGAUUUUAUAAUCAAACUCGAGGGUAAAGAAACCGCGUUUCGUAACUGCUAAGGUGAGAUGAAAACUGCAGGGAAUACUGAUAAUUCGUUGCAGUUAGACUCUGGCUUACCACCAACGUCAAUUUCCUGCUCGAGUGCUUCGAGAAUACGAUUCGUCAGUUUUUACAGCUGCAUGCGGCGAUAAUUUGAAGACCUGCUAGGCUGAUGUCUGCGCAUCGUCUUCCCUCUUACCGAAGAGCUCUUGGCUCGAUGAACGCCAGUCCGGAGUAUGAAAAGUGACAAUUGGACGAUCAGCUGAAUUUAACUUAGUGCUUACUCCAAGCUGCGGGCUUUUCAUAUCGAUCCAGCAGUACCUGGACGAUCAGCUAUAUACCGCAGACAAGGUGGUUCCCUUUCCUUGCUGGAUGUUAUGGAAGAGAGUUUUAAGCUCUUCAUGACAGCAUGUCACAGGUAUGUGCUGCAGGAAAGUCGGAUGAAAGAGCAAAACAUGGAGAAGGACACGCUGGGGGGCUGCCAAAUAUGGUCACUCGUCUUUCAGGUGAGCAAGACUCUCCAGAGAGCUCUGAUGCAGAGCUUGGUCGAACCCAGCCAACACCAAUCGCGCAACUCGAGCUUCGUCCCACAUCGAUAUCGGGCCCUCAAAGCUGCACGCCGUUAUACAUUCUGCACAAGUUCACCCGAUUUCGUUAUUGCUGAGGUUCUCGUCUAUGUGAGAAAUAAAAAUCUGCACUAUA
Molecule: long non-coding RNA, 1564 nt
Organism: Neodiprion fabricii
Lineage: Eukaryota; Metazoa; Arthropoda; Insecta; Hymenoptera; Diprionidae
Exons: 5
Source: RefSeq, a predicted model, not a curated record